RNAcentral lists this ribosomal RNA (406 nucleotides) under uncultured bacterium. RNAcentral describes it as "partial 16S ribosomal RNA". It matches the Rfam family "Bacterial small subunit ribosomal RNA", at positions 30 to 526 of the family's 1533-position model. The record is from RNAcentral.
AUUGAACGCUGGCGGCAGGCCUAACACAUGCAAGUCGCACGAGUGGCGGACGGGUGAGUAAUGUAUGGGAAACUGACCGAUAGAGGGGGAUAACUACUGGACACGGUGGCUAAUACCGCAUACUAUCGGAUGGACCCAUAUGGGCUUAGCGAGUAGGUGGGGUAAAGGAUAACCUAGGCGACGAUCUCUAGCUGGUAGGUGAGGAUGACCAUCCACACUGGACCUGAGACACGUUCCAGACUCCUAAGGUAGGCAGCAGUGGGGAAUAUUGCAAAAUGGGCGAAAGCCCUAUGAAGCCAUGCCGCGUGUAUGAAGAAGGCCUUCGGUGUGUAAAGUACUUUCAGCGGUGAGGCGUUACUCGCAGAAGAAGCACCGGCUAACUCCGUGCCAGCAGCCGCGGUAAUUC